RNAcentral lists this long non-coding RNA (402 nucleotides) under Prunus dulcis (almond). RNAcentral describes it as "sRNA ncRNA". Lineage: Eukaryota; Viridiplantae; Streptophyta; Magnoliopsida; Rosales; Rosaceae. The record is from RNAcentral.
AUGCGAAUUGAAAGUGAGGACACGCGGCCAAGUCCAGGGUCGAGGCAAUUAAGCAAACCAGUCCAGUCCACUAACUCUAUAAAUUCUAAAUUAUAAUACAAAAGGAAACGAUAUCGUUUGAAGAAGAAAACCUUCUUAUCUUAAAAGGCGCCUGAUCUCGCAAAUGAUAAAACCUUAACCCUCGGGCCCUCAGAGUCCCGAACGCGAGUGAGAGCAGAUCUGAGAAAAUGAGAGAUGUGAAACACAGAGAAGGUCUGGAAACCCUAACAAUGCCAUUGUCUCUGUGAUCGGAGCCUUCGCUGUAGAUCAGAGACAUGAGCGUGAAGAAAGAGAGAGACGACGGGGCAUGAAGAAAAGCUCCUCCAAUGCGAUUCUUGUUUUGCGAGGUUUAACGCCUCGAUG